UACGUAGGGACCUAGCGUUGUCCGGAAUCAUUGGGCGUAAAGCGCGCGUAGGCGGCCCGGUAAGUCCGUUGUAAAAGUCGGAGGCUCAACCUCCGAAAGCCGAUGGAUACUGCCGGGCUAGAGUACGGAAGAGGCGAGUAGAAUUCCUGGUGUAGCGGUGGAAUGCGCAGAUAUCAGGAGGAAUACCCAUAGCGAAGGCAGCUCGCUGGGACGUUACUGACGCUGAGGCGCGAAAGCGUGGGGAGCGAACAGG
This 253-nucleotide ribosomal RNA is filed under the name uncultured prokaryote. RNAcentral's name for it is "partial 16S ribosomal RNA". It matches the Rfam family "Bacterial small subunit ribosomal RNA", at positions 524 to 776 of the family's 1533-position model. The record is from RNAcentral.